This is a long non-coding RNA of Anastrepha ludens (Mexican fruit fly), 5418 nucleotides long. RefSeq lists it as uncharacterized. The record is from RefSeq and is a predicted model, not a curated record. Lineage: Eukaryota; Metazoa; Arthropoda; Insecta; Diptera; Tephritidae. The transcript has 2 exons.
UUGUAUUAAAGCUUAAUAUUAAGUUAUUUUAUAUUGUUUAUUUAUAAGUAGGUAUAUAGUAUACUUUACUGUUUCUCGCUGUCGCUAUUUCUUUACCUGUUUCUAUUUACUUCCGAGCAUUGACUUUAUUUCUACAGCUAUACCUACUUUCCGUUCUUCCUAUUUCUAUUUACUUAACUGCUAACUCUCUCUAACUCUCCACAUACUGUUUUUCCAUUUCCGCUAUUUCUCGUAUCAUAGUUUUAGGCCUAAUAUAAGGACAGUACAUGUGUAAUAAAGGGACACUUUUGGAAUUGUAAUCGGACGUAUGCGGUGUUCUUCCUUGAAUUCGAAUAUCACAGGCAAUUAAUUUCGCGCUUCCCUUAGUAAAGUGUUUUUAAAAAUUAAUAUCGUUAUUAUUAUAUUAAUAUACAAUAUCUUCACAAAAGAGUGAAGAAUUUUCACCCUCUCUUAGCAAUGAGCCUACAAAUGGACAAUUAGCAACAAGGCAGGCCUAAGCAGCUCCCAACUUUUAAUGGCGACCCUGAAGAAUUACCGCUGUUUAUUAGCAGUUUCGAUAACAGCGCCACUGUUGCGUGGCAUCGUGAGAUCGUAAAAAUCUUUUAGAAUAUGCUUUGGCAGACCUGAACACAUCCUUGCGUGCCUGUUCUUAAGGAUAAAUAAAAAAUAAUAAAAAAAAUUAAAGGGUCUUGGAAUUUACCCUCUGCCUCAGGAAUAUUUGUGCUACGAUGGAGGGAUAAAAAAUUCGCAUGCACCUGCAAAACCCACUACUUGUUAAGAAGUUUUUCCCCAAUAACCAAAAUCCGUGGCCCUUUCGUUCUCUUUUUAUUUCGGUUGCUUUCGUCUUUCGGAACCCAAUAGUGGGCAUUAUAUAAUGGAUCCCCUUCUUCUAUCACUUGCACAGGCUUACAGUUAUAUGGGCUUUGUCCAAUAGCAUGUAUCAUAUUAUAAACUACACCUUUCAAUACGAGGAACUCAGCUGCUCUGCCGCAACGUUCGCAGAUAUGGUUGGGUCUGCCUCAAAGGGACUUUGUAUCUCGAUUUCCUCCACGUAAAAAUUAUGUUGUUUCCCUACAUUGGUACGCCAUCUCAUAGCAGAACCAGUUUUUCGUAGUCUUCGGUAAGUUCCACCCAAUGCGCUAACAUUAAAUCCAAUACUAAACUGGUAGUGUUUGGAAUCUAUGUUUCGUUAUGCUGGACGACCUGCUGAGUCUACUCAAUAACAUUAUUCAUUUAAUAUUGUAGUAUAGUUUUUUAAUGACUAAAUAGACAUGUAUAUAUACAUAUAUAUAUGUAAAUUGGUCUUAAGAUUUCAAGUUGAAAGAAAGGGCCACAAAAUCUCGUCCUAGCUUUCAUACCAAAAGUCUUCAACUUAGGGUCCGUUUGGUAUGUCUUCAUUGUUGUUCUCUCUGCAUUCGGGUUGUUUUAAGAUGGAUGGGUGAUUAGCCCAUCGUGUCCGAUUCUGCUGGUGGGGCUGCCAGCUAAUCCUAAACAGACAUAAUAAUUUUUAAAAUAAUUUGCAGAACGUGAAGUAGGAAACACUUCGAAAAAUCUCACAUUAACAACUUUGUCAAGCACCCAAUUUUAUCUGUUGGUUGGUUCAAAUUUUAUUGAUAAAUUUUAUUAACUGAAAUACCUUUUACAGGAAAAAAUCAGACCCUUGAACGAACAUUUAAAGCAACAAUAAAAUAUUUACAUAAACCUAUAUUAGUUUGGGGAAAAAGAAAUCCAUUAUAUUCUUGGCAGAUGUCUGUAGUGCCCGAUAUCUCGUAAAGUAGCGAUCGAACGAUUUAAUGCUUGUGAUUGUUGUCAAGGUGACAUUUCGCACCAAAAUUAAAAAAUUAUUUUGCUGUUUUUUGUUUGUUCCAUUCAGUUCCGAGUUACAGGGUGUUAACAAUGGAAGUAAUUUAAGAGAAAAAUACGAUACAUCUUACAAUUUUUCUUUCAUAAAGGCGAAAGUUCAAGACAGUCCAGUGAAACUGUGAAUAGUUUAUGGUGCCGAUACUGUAACAGCUAAUUACGUGCAAUUUAGGUUUCGUCCAUUCCGCUCAGGCAUUUUUGAUGUUAAAAAAAUGUCGAUAAUAUUCAAAAUGUCAAUAAAAUCACAGAAAUAAUCGAAAUUGAUCGGCAUGUUAGUAGUCGCCACAUCGCCCAUCUAAAGAUCGACCAUUAAACUGUUUUGAACCAUUUGCGCAAUCAUUUAAUGCAAACAUAAUCUUUUUUUCUCCCAAAUUAAAAUUUUUUAAAGAAGAAAGUAUCUUCUUAAGUGUUUAGAACGGCUUUUCUCGGAACCCUGUGCUUUUUGCGGAGGGCCUUGGAAAAUAUUGUGAUCCGGAGUUUGUUGGUCAAGCUACUCGAGAAAUGCAAGAAGCUUUAGAUAUGACGUUGGAGGAGAUGAAUCUAGCUGCUCGUGAAUUACUAGCAAAGAAACAAAGUAUUGGGCGCUUUAAUGAAAAAGCAAUUCGUGAAUUAUCUCGUGGUCACGCAUAUGAUCAGUCACUCUCGCAUAAUGCAGCUGAAGAAAAAACAACCCACUUCAACGGUAACGAGCCGUUUAGGGAUACACAAAACCAACAGUGCCAAUAACUCGCAAUCGAGUAAUAAGUAACGAAAAUUCGCCAGAUCGCAAAAUAUACGGUAGAAGGAAUCACAAUGCGGAUAAUCGUAAAAGUACCAUUAGUGAUGAUAAAAAUAAUGUGCGCUCUUAUUAUUCGUAGCAGCCGAUAAAUAAUCCAAGUUGUACAAUUUAUAUUCUUAUUUGACCUAUAGAUAAAAUAAAUACGUAUGCUUUUGUUUGUCUUUCGUACUGUUAAAAUUAACGUAUUAUAGGUACAUAGUUAUAAUUAACACAUAUGCAUGCUGUUCAUGGAAAUGUACACACAUAUAUACAUAAUGAAAAUCUUAGUAAUGGAAUAAAAACCUGAAAUCAAUAUAAAUAUUCGUAUGUACAUAGAGCAAUAUGUUUCAGUUUUAUGGAAAUUACUUCUAAAAUACCAGAUAGGAAAUACAAGUAAAACAAAACAAAAUCGAUAUACCAAAUUGGUCCAAUGGUUUUUAAAAACCUACAAAUAUCAUUGACUUGACGGCUUCUGACCACUGUUUAAUUUUAAUAAAUAAUAGGUUCUUGUUAUUUGAUAAUCUUCCGUUUCUCAAAAGAGAGUUUAAUUAUUGCCCAACGGCUGAAAGUGCUUUAACAACAAUAAGAAAUACACGUAUCUAGCUUUUUUACGUGUUAUUUGUUACAUAUAAAUAUGUAAAAAAAAAUAUACUCUUUUGAACUCUUUGGCUUUAAAUGACUUACGGCCAUAUUCUCGACUUCCCGUUAAUAUUUUUUCUCUUUACACAUUUUCAUUUUCUGAAGUGUCUGCUAUGUUUAUGCCGUCCACAAAUUUAGCAGGCACUCAUUUGUCACUUCGACAACCUGUCGAUUGGAGGGAAUGAUUGAAGAAACUGCUGAGCUUAGAGGCAUUUUCGAAGCCUAAUGAACUGUUUUGAAGAGUACAGGAGCAGGAUAGGCGGUGAAAUUCAAAUUAAGUGGUACGGAGAGUUAAAUCAUAAAUAUGGCAAGCGCAAAACCCGUAGACGGAUUGCGGUCAUCAAUAGGCUGUGGACUUUAUGGAGUCUUAUACUCAUCUGUCCACAAUAUGGUUCUGAAAAAAGAUAUGCAUCUUUGAAAUAGGCGUACACAACGUUUCUCGGUUUCUUUCUCGUGAAAAUUAUGGGGUUUUCCUAUACCUCAUAGCAGAACACGAGUAUAGAAUAUUAUACCUUUUUAAUGAAUAAAAUGACAUAUGUGUAUGUAUCUUAAGCUUUCAAGUUGGAACAAAGGGCCACAAAAUGUUGUCGCCAACUUUGGGUCCGUUUUGUAUCUCUUCAUUGUUGUGCUUUCUGUAAACGGGUUGUUUUAAGAUGGGUGGGUGAUUAGCCCACCGCAUCCGUUGAUUAGUAUUAAUUUUUUUUUUAUUUAUUGAUGAUUUUUAUUAAUUGGCAUACCUUUUACAGGAAAAACAGGAAAAAAUAGAACUCUUCAGCUAACAUUUAAUAUAUCAAAUACAUACAUAUUUUUUUUUAAGAAUAAUCGAACAUGUUUUUAGCAUCUCCAGCGGCUUUCCCCGGAAGCCUGGAUGUAGUUUUAAUUCCACACCGUUUUAAAUCUAACGUGUAUAUAUUUUGACAUAUUUAUACAGGUUGUUUUUGAUUUUGACAGUUUUUUUAAUCUUUUUAUACUGUUUCUCUAGUAUUAAAUAAAUAUUUAACCAGUUGUAGAGAAAAUGAAAUGUUUGUAUCAGUAUCUUCACAUUAACAGGCGGUCGAGAAAACGGUCCUUAGUUUUAUAUAAUUGUUAGACAGAUUUUCAAACCAUGACUGUUAUUUUGUGAGAAUCUUGCAUAUAUUUAAGUAAGAAAAUUACAAUAAGAAAGUUAAAGAAGUAUAGUUUCUCGUGAAAUUAAGUGUAAUUAACCCAUACAUGCCUAUACAUAUGUACAUAUUUAUAUACGCAUUACUACUUAGGAAUACACCAAUAACUUUUUCCAUACAUACGUACAUAGAUACUUCAGCACGCAUUUCACAACAAGUAAGCUAAUACAAGGACAUACAUUUUUCCGUUUAGUGCAUUAUAAGAAGAGAAAGCCUUACUCCAAUUACAAGAUAUUCGGAUUUGAUAAAAUAAGUUAUUUUUAUUAACGUUUAAAAACACUGCUGAAUAUAAUAAAUUAAAUUUUUUAACGCAAACAGCAAGGAGAUAAAAAAAUGUGAGCACACCUACCUAAUUAUAUCUUUUGUGUUGAUGAAAGAAUACAAUUUUUUUAUUAAAUUUUAAUUUGUUGCUUUAAAGGCAUUUCAUAUAGACAAGUGGUUCAAUUUAGCCCCAAGAAUUACAAAAAGACAAUAACAUACCAACCAUUCUUUGAGCACCAAGUUUUAAAUAUUGUACUGUUAUGAAUCAAAAUAUUAUAUGUAUGUAUAAAUGUACGUUUGGAUAGGAAAAAAAAUCCUUUAAUAUUAUUCGAUGUACUCAUAUAAACCCUGUACUCUCGAACUAUUUUGGAAUAGACAUUUGAAUGUACAUAUAUAAGUAAUUUAUGCCGAAAAACAAAGCAGCUCCGUAUCUUCACGUAACUUCUUUGUCUCACUGUAAUGAAACUUGGUUAGACUAUGAAUAAAUACAACUAGUAAUAAAAAAUUAUGAACACAGAAAAAAUUAUCAAAAAUAUUUGAGAAAAUUAAUAUAUAUGGUGUUGAAUUCAAAUACCUUCCUAUAUCUUAAUAGUACUGCUUAGGCAGAAGCAUAGGUAGAUGAGACUUUUCUUUCAAACUAUUUUGUCUUAAUUUUUUACGGCACUUGUUUUUGUAAAUUUGCGCUUUAAAUUGUAUACACCAAAUAAAAAAAGUACUUUUGGAUAGGCAAAUAAUAAA